UACGAAGGGUGCAAGCGUUACUCGGAAUUACUGGGCGUAAAGCGUGCGUAGGUGGUUUGUUAAGUCUGUUGUGAAAGCCCCGGGCUCAACCUGGGAAUGGCAAUGGAUACUGGCAAGCUAGAGUGCGGUAGAGGGUAGUGGAAUUCCGGUGUAGCGGUGAAAUGCGUAGAGAUCGGGAGGAACACCAGUGGCGAAGGCGGCUACCUGGACCAGCACUGACACUGAGGCACGAAAGCGUGGGAGCAAACAGG
This 251-nucleotide ribosomal RNA is filed under the name uncultured bacterium. Its description in RNAcentral is "partial 16S ribosomal RNA". It matches the Rfam family "Bacterial small subunit ribosomal RNA", at positions 524 to 776 of the family's 1533-position model. The record is from RNAcentral.